This 152-nucleotide transfer RNA is filed under the name Nanobdellota archaeon. RNAcentral's name for it is "tRNA-Met". The stretch from base 2 to 73 matches the Rfam family "tRNA". The record is from RNAcentral. Lineage: Archaea; Nanobdellati; Nanobdellota.
GGCGAAGUAGCUUAGUGGUUAUAGUACCACGCUCAUAACGUGGUGGUCGCGGGUUCAAGACCCGCACUACGCUCGCAAGUAUGCAUAUUAUCAAGGCGAGCGAAGUGGUUUCCUUCAAAAUGAUUCCUUGGAUGAAAAUCCCGCCUUCGCCA